AUGAACGCUGGCGGCGUGCCUAAUACAUGCAAGUCGAGCGAACAGAUAAGGAGCUUGCUCCUUUGACGUUAGCGGCGGACGGGUGAGUAACACGUGGGUAACUUACCUAUAAGACUGGAAUAACUCCGGGAAACCGGGGCUAAUGCCGGAUAACAUGUUGAACCGCAUGGUUCUACAGUGAAAGGCGGCUUUGCUGUCACUUAUAGAUGGACCCGCGCCGUAUUAGCUAGUUGGUGAGGUAACGGCUCACCAAGGCAACGAUACGUAGCCGACCUGAGAGGGUGAUCGGCCACACUGGAACUGAGACACGGUCCAGACUCCUACGGGAGGCAGCAGUAGGGAAUCUUCCGCAAUGGGUGAAAGCCUGACGGAGCAACGCCGCGUGAGUGAUGAAGGUCUUCGGAUCGUAAAACUCUGUUAUUAGGGAAGAACAAAUGCGUAAGUAACUGUGCGCGUCUUGACGGUACCUAAUCAGAAAGCCACGGCUAACUACGUG
Molecule: ribosomal RNA, 496 nt
Filed under: uncultured bacterium
Lineage: Bacteria
Description: partial 16S ribosomal RNA
Rfam family: Bacterial small subunit ribosomal RNA
Source: RNAcentral